GAUGAAGAACGCAGCGAAAUGCGAUACUUGGUGUGAAUUGCAGAAUCCCGUGAACCAUCGAGUCUUUGAACGCGAGUUGCGCCGGAAGCCAAUAGGCCGAGGGCACGCCUGCCUGGGCGUCACACGUCGUUGCCCCCCCAUCUACUCCUUCGGGAUUGCGGGGGGCGGAUGAUGGCCUCCCGUGCGCCUCGCCGCGCGGUUGGCAUAAAUGCCAAGUCCUCGGCGACGCACGCCACGACAAUCGGUGGUUGCGAAACCUCGGUUGCCCGUCGUGUGCGGUCGUCGGGCAUCGAGGGCUCGAAAAAAUUGCCGGGUUCCGGCUCGGCUUUCAACGCGACCCCAGGUCAGGCGGGGUUACCCGCUGAAUUUAAGCAUAUCAAUAAGCGGAGGA
Molecule: unclassified non-coding RNA, 391 nt
Filed under: soil metagenome
Description: partial contains 5.8S ribosomal RNA, internal transcribed spacer 2, and large subunit ribosomal RNA
Rfam family: 5.8S ribosomal RNA (bases 1-122)
Source: RNAcentral